Molecule: ribosomal RNA, 404 nt
Filed under: uncultured prokaryote
Description: bacterial SSU rRNA
Rfam family: Bacterial small subunit ribosomal RNA
Source: RNAcentral
UGGGGAAUUUUCCGCAAUGGGCGAAAGCCUGACGGAGCAACGCCGCGUGAGGGAUGAAGGCCUCUGGGCUGUAAACCUCUUUUCUCAAGGAAGAAGACCUGACGGUACUUGAGGAAUAAGCCACGGCUAAUUCCGUGCCAGCAGCCGCGGUAAUACGGGAGUGGCAAGCGUUCUCCGGAAUUACUGGGCGUAAAGCAUGCGCAGGCGGUUAUAUAAGACAGAUGUGAAAUCCCCGGGCUCAACCUGGGACCUGCAUUUGGGACUGUAUAGCUAGAGUACGGUAGAGGGGGAUGGAAUUCCGCGUGUAGCAGUGAAAUGCGUAGAUAUGCGGAGGAACACCGAUGGCGAAGGCAAUCCCCUGGACCUGUACUGACGCUCAUGCACGAAAGCGUGGGGAGCAAACA